This 265-nucleotide ribosomal RNA is filed under the name uncultured bacterium. RNAcentral's name for it is "partial 16S ribosomal RNA". The record is from RNAcentral.
CUGCUGCCUCCCGUAGGAGUUUGGGCCGUGUCUCAGUCCCAAUGUGGCCGUUCACCCUCUCAGGCCGGCUACUGAUCGUCGCCUUGGUGGGCCUUUACCCCGCCAACUAGCUAAUACAACGCAUGUCCAUCUCUGACCACCUGAGUUUUCAACCACCGAAGAUGCCUCCGGUGAUGUUAUGGGGUAUUAGUACCAAUUUCUCGAUGUUAUCCCCCUGUCAAAGGUAGGUUACAUACGCGUUACGCACCCGUCCGCCGGUCGCCGG